UGAGCAAUCUGCCCUUCUCUUCGGAAUAAGCGUUGGAAACGACGUCUAAUGCCGAAUACGACCUCCUUUCGCAUGAUCGGAGGUGGAAAGCUCCGGCGGAGAAGGAUGAGCUCGCGGCCUAUCAGCUAGUUGGUGUGGGUAAUGGCCCACCAAGGCGACGACGGGUAGCCGGCCUGAGAGGGCGAUCGGCCACACUGGGACUGAGACACGGCCCAGACUCCUACGGGAGCAG
This 232-nucleotide ribosomal RNA is filed under the name uncultured bacterium. RNAcentral's name for it is "partial 16S ribosomal RNA". It matches the Rfam family "Bacterial small subunit ribosomal RNA", at positions 118 to 347 of the family's 1533-position model. The record is from RNAcentral.